Molecule: ribosomal RNA, 433 nt
Filed under: uncultured bacterium
Lineage: Bacteria
Description: partial 16S ribosomal RNA
Rfam family: Bacterial small subunit ribosomal RNA
Source: RNAcentral
AACGAACGCUGGCGGCAUGCCUAACACAUGCAAGUCGAACGAGACCUUAGGGACAAGUGGCGCACGGGUGUGUAACGUGUGGGAACCUGCCGUUAGGUUCGGGAUAACUCCCCGAAAGGGGUGCUAAUACAGGGAAAUGUCUUCGGACAAAAGAUUUAUCGAAUUUGGAUGGGCACGCGUUGGAUUAGCUAGUUGGUAGGGUAAAAGCCUACGAAGGCGACGAUCCAUAGCUGGGCUGAGAGAAUGAUAAGCCACACUGGGACUGAGACACGGCCCGGACUCCUACAGAAGGCGGCAAAGGGGAAUAUGGGACAAUGGGCGAAAGCCUGAUCCACCAAUGCCGCGUAAGUGAUGAAGGCCUUAGGGUUGUAAAGCACGUUUACCCAGCGUGAUAAUGACAGUACCGAAAGAAUAAGCUCCGGCUAACUCCGUG